UGAAAUGGAUUUGGCUUAAGGACUGUAGUUUGAAAAAAAAAUAUUUUUGCUGCGCAGAGGAAAUGAUAGAAUAACUUCUUGUGAGUAUUUUGUACAUGUUUUAAAUGACAUAAACAAUAGGAAAAGUCUAUACAACAGCUUACAUAUUUUAAGCUGGUAAUGAUUUAUUCUUCCUGCUGUGUGUUGAAGUGCUUCAUCUGUCUCCCUGCAAAUGGCUAAACCAGGAAGGCAUCUGUUGCUUCCCCCAUCCCCAGACUUACUCAGAAGGUUUUUCUGUAGAUGCUUGGUAUACGUUUUCCAGUUCUCACUUUUGAUCUACCGUUAAUCUACUAUUUAAUCUUUCAGUUCAUGGAGCAAAGUUUAACUUCAGUCUGCAGUUUCACAUUUGGCCUUCAGAGCUCUAUACGUGCUGGAGAUAAAAUGAGACAGAACAAGUCAGAAACAGAAAAAUUCUGCAACCCUGCUUAGAACAACCUCAUCCAAAAUUCCACUCUUAACGGAUUUCUUGCGGAGCUGACAUAUGCACAGCAAUCCAUAAACUGAUGAAUAGAAAAGAAGGUGUGAUUCAGACUCUUGCUCAGGCUGGGAUAAAUUUGGUGGUAAAAACUGCAAAUCAUUAUUAGAGGGGAGGACGACACAGUCUGUGUCCCAGAAAUCCUGCAAUCAAAAACUGUGACAUGAGAGCACCGUCAUGCAAAGACAUGCUGAACUGGCCAGAAAAAGCAAGUGGAAGAGUGAUGGUUCAGGCUGGAGCGCCGGGGCCUGGGCAGUGCGGGCAGGAGCUGGAGGCACGCAGCCUUGUGCCAGGGCGGGAGGACCGGUGGGUACGACGCGGGUAAGUCCAGGAGAAUAGAUGAUAUGAGACUUGAUUAAUGUAUAAUUAAUUAGAAUGUAUUCUAAUUAGUGUCAAUCAACGUGCGGGUAUGGAAAAUAGGACCGCUAAAUAAGACUUGCUUUUUUUUUUAAUGAGAUGACAAAUGUGGUAGAUGGGGAGAGUAUUGAUAUGCCAGCUGCCCAUAUGGCAUUUGCUUUGACACCAGUGUGACAUCUGGGGUGGAAGUGAGAUGCUGCUGGACUGUCACGUGAGCUGGGCUGUCAGGUGGCAGCUGGAGGUGGGAGGUGAGGGCAUGGCCAUUACCUCUGGACAGGGCUUGGCCAGCACCCUCCAUGCCCGCAGGGAUGGGGAAUCGGGGGAGGCGCAGGCGGCACUGCUCGGGUCUGGCUGGUGUGGAAACCCUGUGCUGAGCUGUGGCCGGUGCAUGUGGGGGAGGGGGACCACAUCGGGAAGAGGGACCACACAGAGGAAUCAUGGAAGGCCAUGGGUAGCAGAGGGGUAAGGGCCAGGAGAAGAAGACGGGCACCGAGCGCCUGGAAGGGGUCAGCCUGCUGAAUUCAAGGAUAAGAUGGGCCAGGCAUGAUUUGAUCUCGGGCUGUGAGUAUGAACACAGGGAGCAGGGGGUUGAUAACAGAAAGCUUUUCAGUUUAGUGGACAGGGAUAUAAGGAGAUCUAAAGCUUGAAGCUGAGAUAAACACACAUUUUGUCUAUGGUGGAGGUAACUUGGUAGCUGGAGCAUCCUACCAGAGGGCGAUGGCCAGCUCCUUGUUGCCAAAAUGUCUUAAUGGAGAUUGGUUUGUGGUUUUCUGAAAGGGUGCUCUACUUGGAAGGGAAUUAAUUAAUCCUGGAAAGGUUUAUGUCCAAGCCACAAUGGAUGCUCACAACAGCACUUCUUGGCUACGGAGCCACAAUUACUUGCUCCAGUUAAUUUUGCUGGAAGCAGGAUCAGACCCUCACCUGUGGAGGAGUGCAGAAUGCCGAUGGCUGUCGCGGUGCUGUGGCACGUGGGCGAGCAGCACUCAUGUCUGUGGCUCUGCAGCUAAUCAACACGUCAGCUAAAGCGAAUUUGAUUUUGAGAAGUCUUAUGGACCCCAAUAAAGAUCAGUAAUCAUUAAAAUUAACCACACGCUGAUUUAAUCAACAUAUAGCUUUGUUAAUUACCAGCUCUUUCUUCGUGUCCAUCUGUUUUAAAGAUUUUAGUGAACCUGCAGCAGAUGUUCAUGUAAAUAUAAUAAGCUGGUUGCCAUGUAAAUAUAAAAUUUGCAGGAUUGUUUUUGUAACAGACUUCCAAUUUAUUUGUGCUGUUGUCAGUAUCACGUCUUCAGUGGCUUAAACACAAAACUGAUAACUUUGUUAAAAUCCCCAUUAGAGACAGUCUGUGCUACCAGGCUGUCCCUCUGCCUGGCCCUGCCGCCGUGUCCUGCUCCUGUGAUUUGUGCCCAGGAACUGCCAUGUAGAACUGAAAUAGGGCCCAUCUAUUCACGCUGCCUUCCAGGGUAUAAAAAGUAAUUUCUGCACUCAUGGUGAAAGUGAUUCAUUCAUUGUGAGCGGUGUAGGUGGGGAGUGGCUUGUGCAGCUGAACAUUGGGUUUCCAGCUUUCCCCUCGGAACCGGGUGCCAGCAGGGAGGUGGGUCCGGCGGGCGGGGGAGUGGAGGGGGAUGCUGGCGCAUGGCUGUGGGAUGCCUAGGGGAGACAGCAGCAAAACUGGGCUGCCAUGACAGUACAGAAAGCAAACUGGCAAGCAUUUUAAAAUCUAAAAAUGAAUACUCUGUGGCAUAAAUUGAAAAAAACCCCAAACCCCUAGAUUUUACUUUGCCACUAGUGACCAAAUGGGGUGCAUUUUGCUGGAUUAAUAUUUUUCUUGUGAAACAGAAUCCCCAAUAGAAUCGGAAAAAAGGCAUGAAAAAGUGCAGAAGAGCUAUGUUUUGCUGAAAAAACUUCACAGUUUAAGACUUAGCUUUUGAGUCUACAAGCCGAAUAGCAGAGGUUUUUUUGAUGUGGCAGCAUGUGGGGCUUUUUCUGUGUGUGGGAGUUGCAGACUUCGCUCCGUGGAGAUCUUUUAUCUACAGGAGCAUGGCUCUGGGUAAGUUUCUUCACCAGCAGUGUGCGGCAAAGGGGUCACGAAGGCAGAGUGUGGGCAUGCAGAGGAAACCUCUUCCACUUCCAUCCGUGGGGAGGGGGAGGUGGCUGCCCUGGAAGCGAGAUGUUUCUUCUCUGUGCUGGGGAGAAGGUGCCCAGCCACAGCCCUGCCAGCACAGGUGCCCAUUGCCCUCAUGGUGGUGGCUUUUCCCUGCGCAGGGGAGAGAUGCUCUUCAGCAGCUGCAGAACUAGGCAGGAAAACCUGGCUCUGAAUAUGUCUGCAUUUGGUCUUUGUUGGAUUAAAACUGUUAUGGAACAUAAUUGCCCAGGUUUCCUGUGUGACAGUAGCCUGACAGCCAGUCUUGUACGGUGGGACUGGACUCGCGGUGAGGGCGUGAAGCAGAGCAGCCGAGGGCAGGUCCCGUUUUAUCACUGGGAAACAGGUGCUUCUCUAAGGGAAGAAAACUGGGAGCACUGGGGGGCACCGGCUGCAGCAAGUCAUUCGAGUGGUUCGUGCUGUGGCAAGGACAGGCCAGGACGGGUUUUGGCAAGGUGGUUGUAGGGAUGCAGUGUGGUCCUUACACUCAUGAGGGUACAGCCAUGAGCACUCCUAACGCACAGCCCGUCCAUCCCUGGAGUGUGGGCUGCCACCUCUGAAAGCGGGUAGUGUUCCCAGGUGGCAGUCCGUUCUCAGCUGCAGAUUAACCUCAUAAAAGGCACCACCAAAACCCCCCAAGCCCUCACAGGGAUUAAUACAAUAGGUUCAGAUUGUGAAUUCAGAGAGGGAUCUCUUUUUUUGUUACGUUUGUGCAAAGAAGGCCAUGGUUGAUAGAAGGGAUUCCUAAAUAUGGCUGUGGCAUAGUUAAGUGAUAAUAAUCCCAAAGGCAAUGAAACAACAAAGGAGGAAAUUCACUGUUCAUCUGCAGACCGUGGAAAACCACUGAUUCUCAAAUUCACUUGGCAACGUCAGCCAUGUAGCUAUACGCCCCCUUUAAGCUGUGUAACCCCAGCGUCCCAAGUGGAGACGUCUGCCUCUGAGCACUGCGCCUGGAGUUGUGUCUGGAAAGGGAUGAAACCCCAUGGCACGCACGUUGCAUCGUAGUCCCACCAGCUGGCAGGCAAGUGUCCCUGCAAGAUGGUGGCAAGAGGGGACCACCAAGAGGCACAAGCACCUUCAGCACUGGUGGGACAGGCUCUUAGCUUGUUUGCAAAGCCUCCUUUAAGACGGAUUUUAAAGUCAAUUAGAGAUGACCUUGUUGCAUAAUGGGAAAACUGACAAAAUGCAGAAUUGCAAAUUCAUGUUGUUUGUCUAGGUAUUACAUCUGCCUUCAGAGAAUAAUUAAUCUGAUAAAUAACAGAACUCCGGCUUCAGAUUGGGUGUUUCUCUAAUCCACUGUAUGUGUUUAUUUCUCCCAGUGCUCCGCAGGUACACCCACUGGGUACGGACGGUGGGCAGGAUGCAGACCCUUGCCCCCAACCUCCCCGCUCCAGGCACUCCUGCAGCAGCCCCAGGCGGGCUCCCCAUCCCAGGGGACGGUCCUCCCUCUGCUGGGGCCCCAGUGCUGGGCAGUGAGAGGCUGGGAGCUGCUGGCUGCGCUUCUGAGGAUUUUGGUUUCAUUUUGCUCUACAUUGACAAUGACUUCAGGAGCCUGGAGAGGAGGAUGAGAGUGCACAAAGGCAGGUCAUUAAACAGCUCUCUUCAGGCACCUAUUGAUCUGCGCGGUCCUUGCUCUCACAUUGGCCAGGUAAGGCACUGCUGGCAUGAAAUUCCCGUUCAUGGUAGAAGAUUUACUGUUUUUCAGGGAGUGGAGCGUAAAGAAACAGACACCCGCAAGUGGCUGGAAAGCUCCAGGAGCAGAGGCUGCAGCCCCCCACACCCUUCCCAAGACAGGCACAAGGAAGCGGAGACAAAAGGCAAGGUGGAACUGGGCAGCGAUCCGGCGUCUCAGCAAGGGCAAAUCAACACUGGCAAUGAAGAAGAAAUUUAAAGAUGAUAGCAGCAAUUGGUGUGAGUCAGCCGUGUUCCUCCUCACAGAUGGGACAAACUCCCCAAACCUGGAUCUGGUAGAUUUGAGUGUUUCCUGAUGAGCAUUCAGUUUCCUGAUAAAUACAUUUUGCAGGUAAAUCCUGUUUAACACCAUCCCUGAGAGACUAAUACAACCACCAAGGUGCGCUUUAUUUUGUGCUGAGGUUCGGACUGGGCUUGAAGUUGCUGGUGUGUAUUUCUCUAGAGGAACAUUCUGUCCUGGCAGGACAGACUGAGCCAGACCGGCCCAUCCUCCCGCCCAGCACACGACCCCUUGGAACGGCAGAGCCACGCCGCACGUGCACAGGACACGUGCCGGGACUCGCAUGGCCAAGAGCUCUGCUCUGAGCACAUCAUUCAGCUCCACCAGAACCAUCCGCCCGGGGAAUCCCACAGCCUGCGUCAGGCCGCGGUGAGGUGCCUCAUCCAUCCCACCGGCAGCAGGCAAACCAAGCUGCGGACGGCGGUGGGUGCUCAAGCACGUGUAGUUGUGUCAGCACCUCGUCCAUCUCAGUUUGUGGGAAGUCAGGUCUGAGCCGCAGCAAGGUACCAAACGUGUCAAAGAGUUUGCGGGCCAGAGGGAGCAGACACAGCAGUGCUCUUUCUCCUGUUCCUUCAUCUGCCUCUGGCUCAGUCGGUGAGAGCACAUCUCUGCACUCCUCCUUUCUCCUUUGGAAGCAGCUGAAGUACCACUUAGGCAGGUGCAGUCUUACUCUUAGUGAUGUCGGGAAAGAGUUAAUUAAAGGCAAUUCACCUGGGAUCACUGGGUUAGGUUUUUGGAUGUGCAUAACUUUGGAAUCCAGAUGCCUGUUACUGCCAACAAGUGCCAUGGAAGCCUUGUUUUGCAAGAGGAGAAGGAGGAGGUCAGAUUGCAGUCUGUGAAGCUGACUACAUGAUACUACAUCCCAUGGACAGACAGGAGUCCUGGUAUCUUUUUAUCUGCACAAUUAAUUUUGACUACUGAAUACACUUAACAUAUGCAGGAGGAAGAGCGAACUAUUUGUUAGCAUUUGAUGCGGUUCUUUUAAACUGCCGAAGUCUGGCAUUGCAAUUACUACUCUUACACUAUGCACUUGCAGUAAUUUACAGUGGAAGUCAGAGACAUCUCCGAGUUAAAAGCAGAUCUCCUGUGAGGAGGAUGUGACAAAGUUUAAGUAGAAAGCUGAUCCCCUCUGCAGGAAUUCAGAGAUGCAUCUUGAUAUCUGUAAGGCCUUGUAGGAUGCAGGUUUUUGUCUUCUGCUUUCAAAUUGAUAUUCUGUUGCUAAAUCUAGGCCAGCUUCACUUAAUUUUUUUUUUUUAUGGUGUCUCACUUUUUUAAUUAUCGAGCUCAACUCCACAAUGGUUUGACUCUUUUUGAUGUGCAGCAGCUGGUCGUGGACUCUGCAAGCAGGACUGCAUUUGAAAAUCAAGCGAAGGAAAGUGCUGGUGGAAAAUGGAUAAAACAUGGAUUAUUUCCUGUAACAAUAAGAAAAGUGCUGUGUGUGCAGUACCGUCUGUGAUCAAGCAUGCUGCUGCAGCGUGCCGUGCCUGAGUUUGCGUUACACAGUUGACUGGAGCAAUUUGGGAGAACACUCUGGAGUGAUGGGAGCAUCAUCCCAAAGUCCUGGAUGUGGAGCAGCCAUAUGGGCACCUCAGUGUUUAUCCUUCUGGAUCUAUAUCUUAGCCUGUGUGGACAGCAUACCGUAAAUGUAACCUGGGCAGCCAGAGGAGCAAUAAAUCAGGAGUGAGCCCAAGAAACCGAGGCUGGUAUGAGCUUGUGCGGCAGAGAGGGGUAUGUGAUGUAUAUCUGACCUUUCAGAUGUGGGGGAAGGAUAUUUCUCUGUUUAUAGAUACUAGGAUUUGUGAUUAAAACUGUAUAAAAACAAUGGCUUUCAUGCAUUGCGCUUUGAGGGCUCAGCCUGAACUGGUUCACAGAAGCACGACCCAGUUCCUAUACAGUGCUGGCUUUCAGCAGCCGCCCCUGCAGGAGGCCGGGCUCCGUCCAGAGCCUGCUGCAGUUAAUGGAAAGGCUCCUCUUCAUUUCCCUAGGACUUGGAUCAGAUCCUUAGAAGGCAAUUUGGGUAGUGAGGUGAGAAAUUUGGGAUGACCAGCGUAUCAAUAACACGAGCAUCAAGCUUCACUCCCUUCACCUCAGUUCACAAACUAAUUCCAAUCCAAAUGCUAAGCAGCAGACCUUCCACAUGUUGCCAAGGCAGAUGCAGAUACUAAAAGGUACAUUUGUAAACGGGUCUUUUUAAUGCAUCCCUCUAGUGUGUUAUAUUUGUACAUUUAUUCUUAGUUUCAUCAUGGCUUCUGGUUUUAGUUACUGUCCUAAGGUGGUGCUCUGACUACCAACACCUGUUAGACCCAAAUUUUAAUGUGAUUUAGAUGAGAGGAGGGUGGGCACUUUCUACUCCACUGACCCAGUCUCGUGUUUGCUGGGAGAAGCCAGUGGAGCAACACAGAUUUGUCCCAGUAACUUUAUGGAAGGUCUUUGUUCCUGUAGGAUCCAAGCGCCAUUUUCCCUUUCAAUGUUUAUUUCUUAAGCUCAGCAUUCAUGGAGAAAACACUGGGCACUGAUGACUUCUCACAGCAGCAGUGCCCCUUCCCCCAGGCACCAGCGGUGAGCCUCACGUUCCUGGCGCAGCGGGCGUGUGUCUGGCUGUGCCUGUGGUGGAGCAGGUCACGCUGGGGAGGCGGUGGGCAGGGGCACUGCGGGCACUGCGGGCAGGGGCACUGCGGGCAGGGGCACUGCGGGCAGGGGCACUGCGGGCACUGCGGGCACUGCGGGCAGGGGCACUGUGGGCAGGGGCACUGUGGGUAGCCCAGUGCCUUCGGGGAGCCCGUCCACGUAAACAUCAGCGUUGUGUUGAGUGGUGGUACUUGUUUGUGGAGGAGACGCGUGUCCUACUGAGAACUUCAAUAGCUUUGUGCUUCAUGUGUUUCUGGCACGGUAUUCCUAAGAAAUGCUGAUUGUGUAAAAUGGGAUUUUGGGUGAAACCACCAACGUUUGCGUUUAGCAUUGCCCUGACAGAGCAAAGAGAGGGGGGAUGCUUCUCUCUGCGUCUCGGUUCAGUGCACUGGGAAGGUCCAUUCCCGGAUUGAGGUAAGCGAACAGGCAGGCGGGUGAGGAUUCAUACACCAGCUUUCAAGAGACCAUUCCCUCACAGUUCCUUUGUCCUAAGAAAGAAAGAAAGUAAUUUCUAGAGGAUAAUUUGAAUUACUGUCUGAAGGUGCAUUUUUCUAUUUCUUUCUCUCCAAUACAAGGAUGGUUGGGGUGGACAACCCCAACUUCUCUGCCUCUGAGAGUGGGGGUGAGGCACGUGGCCCCGCAAAACUGGCAGCUGAAGCCCGAGUCUCUCAGAAGGAGCAGCCUUUCCUUGCUUGCGGCGGUGUCCCAGGGUCCUGUCAUUGCUCGGGGCGCAGGAGGGGUGGGGGUGUGCUGGGUGCUGCUCUGCAGAGCUGUGCAUGGACCCAGCGGUCGCACUGCGCCGCUGCCUAGCGGGUCUCUCCCCUUGUGCGGAGGGGCCGGGAGCCCGGCAGCCUUGGCCCUGCAGAGGGGUUCAGACCCCGCGGCGAGGCCUUUGCCUUGCGAGCCCUGUGCUUCCGUGCGUGUGCGCUCGGCGUUUGUGAGCGCUGGCUGCUGGCUCUGACGGCCACCCGGUACGUUUGUGCGGUGCCUGCGGACGCUGCGCGGGGAGCUGGGCCGGCUGUCGGCUGCCCCUGGCGCGGGCGGCUAGGCAGGGGGAGCUCAGCCAAACCGCCUGCUAGCCCAGGGCAGGGGGGGCAGCUCCAGAUGCCCAUCCAACUUUAUUGUACAACUUCAUUAUCGUCUGCCGUCAUAAAUGAUUUCUGGGGUUUUUUUACAGUUUGUCAGAACUUUAAACUCUUGCAUCAAAGUCUUGCUCUUGUCCAUCGCCUUGUAACUUGGUAGAAGGGGUACAGGAUACGUCCCUGAUCGUGCGUGAUUGCUGCUGGGUAAGCGCUUGGUGAGGCCCAGGAAACAAUGAGAAGAGUAUAAAUAUCAGUUACAGAAGGAGAUGUUACUGGACUCCUGUGGCAAUUUCCUAUGGUAAUAAGCAUCUAGGAGGAUAUUAAAAAUGUCAUUUGUGCUUUAAAAGUAAUAAUAAUUGGAAUAGAUUCUGGCAUCUUUUAUAACAACAGAGCUAGCAAUUAUUACUGGGGAUAUUUUAAAAGAAAACAAAUAUAUUAAAUAAUUAGUUAAUUGAAUUGCCAAUAUUGCUGAUGCUGCUGAUAUUAUUCUGAAAAAGAUGAGAUUAGCAGCAUGGUUUUGCACAGUUAUAUUUGGUUGGAGAUAAAAUUAAGAGGAGGACUGAGAUGCAUUCAGCUGGCUCUGCCCCGAGGCUGGUGUGCGGUGGGGAAUUCUGCAGGACCCUGGUGCUCAGGCACCUUGCCGGCAGCUCACGCAUAUAUCCAUUCCAGCAUUUUACUGAAUCUAUUUUAUUUACCCAUUGGAGCUGCGCACUGUGGACAUUUCCCUUGGAAAACCUCUCCUCCCACCCUGCCUUUGGCACAGUCUCAACCCUCAGUUUGUGCGAGCUCCAGACCUCCAAACGCACCCCUUCUCCGUCUGGACACCAAAGCAGAGUGACAGGUUUUGGAAAGCAGUCAGCACAUUGGGUGACCCCCAUGGAACAUGGCUGUGCAGUGCUUACGUAGGAGGGAAUCUGGCUGGAACACCUGCCCUCCGCACGCUGAGCUCCUGGAGAGGGCAGGCUCAUUCUCAAGCCUGCUGCUCGGUGCGUGCCUUAUGCCGCCAGGUGCUAGCGAGGGGUCCCCGCUUCUCAGCCCAAAAGCUGUCCUUGUCCUCGUGUACAGGGCUUCUCCAGGUGCCCCAGGAGUUACCUCUGUGCCAUCCAUCGAUUGCAUCUGCGUGGCUGCCAGGGAUGGAUGGCUUAGAGCUCAUUGCAAGAUUGCUGCUUACACAACUGGGUCAUUCAUGCUGAAAACGGACAAUGUAAAAUGCUGCCUUCCCUCCUCUCACAAGCAGGAGCUGUUUUUUCCUUCCAGUGCCGGUAUGCAGGCUCCCUGUGCUUCCCAGUGCAAGAGCUGCAAAAGCAGCCUUCAGCUUCAUGCACCUUCAGGCUUAUUCUUUCUCCUGUAGCUGGGACACAUGCACUGCGAUCCACGGCUCAGCCAUGGGUUUCCCUGCUGCAUUUCCGUUUUCUUCUACAGUUUCAUCAUGCCAGUCACAUGCAAACUUGCAUCUACAUCUAUGUAUCUAUAUCUACGUGCACACAUGCAAGGAUUUAAAUGCAUGUUCAGCAGAGUGACAGCCCUGGUUUGCAGGGAGAGCUGGAAAUAAGAGGCUUAGCAUGUACCAACUUAAAAAUACAACCUUUUGUGAUAAAACAGGAUUGCUAUUACAUUUUUCAUCCUGCUACAGCUCUCACAAGGAGUAAAGUGGUGUGGGGUGUUGCUGUUGUGAGAAGAAAGUACAGACUGGAGUCCCUUGGUGCCAGGGACAGGGCAGGGUGCCCCGGGGGGUCCGUGUGGCUGAGGGCUCUGCCCCUGCCUUCUCCCCACAGGGGAACAGGGGUCUAUUUCUGUGCUCUUUAGAGACCUCCAUGGGCUGAAUCGAUUUUCAUUAUUGUAAUGCACUUAAAGGAUAUUUCCUUUCUUUAAAGAAAAUAAAUGCAUUGUUUAUUUCAAAACUGAA
Molecule: RNA transcript, 10599 nt
Organism: Falco peregrinus (peregrine falcon)
Lineage: Eukaryota; Metazoa; Chordata; Aves; Falconiformes; Falconidae
Exons: 7
Source: RefSeq, a predicted model, not a curated record